UUAUUACCAGCGCCAGGGAGGAAGUUUCUACCAGCGGGGAUUAUGCGCAGUUUCCUUGCCCAGAAGCUUUUGGGCUUUGUCCCCUCCCACUCUUGAAAAGCAGCGAUUCCACAAACUAGAGGUGGUGGGAAGGGAGGGGGGUGGGGGGUUAGUAAAAAAAAAAAAAAAAAAAAAAGCGGGGCAAACUUAAACCUGCUCCUUUUGCUAUGCCUUUUUCUCCCUCCUCGCUUUUUACGGAGCUAGAAGAAGGAGCACGUUUCGGCCGCGUUUUUGUACACCGGGCGGCACAGAAGUGCAUUGUGUUGGGACCGGAGCAGGGAGGGAGGAGGAGGAGGGUGCUGGAGGAGCACAGCUGCACGGCGCACAAGAGCCGGCAUCUCAGCCUGACAGGCAGGCGAGCAGCAAGAGGGAGAGAGCGAAACGAGGGCUCUUCCGCCGCACUCUUUGAGGGGGUUCCUCUCCGUCCAGCGUUCGCCCCCACCAACCCGACAAACUCACCAUUCCCCCACGUUACAGCAGCUCCGUCCGGGAUUUUUAUUUAUUUAUUUAAUUGUUUUCAAAUCAAAGCACUGAAAUGUGGAAUGGACGCGGACAAGAGAAAGGAUUCUGUUCUCCUCUUCUGUGGCUGGCUACUCAAAUUCAGUACAUGGGUGGAGCAGCAUCUGUUAAUGCAGUCCAGGAUUGCUGACAUCAAGCCAGGAGUAGAAAGUCAAGGAGCUGGCUUGUGCAGUCUGCAGGUAAAACCUUUUGUUCUGUCUUUCACUGUAAAUCUCUGUAAACUAUCAGGCUGACCAUUUACUUUCUAUUCUCUGCAACCUGUCAACAGUUUGGGCUCUCCCACAUGUAGAGAGCUUUUCUGUAUUUUUUUACCACACUGUAGAAAAACACUGAACAAAUAAAAUCUGUGAAAUGAGGUGUGUCCAAGUGUCUCGUGAUAAAUCCAAAUCACAUUCUGUUAUACAUUCUUUUUGAAAGUAGCCCAUUUUUGACUUGAUGCAACUUAAUGCACUCUUGCUGUUCUCUCAAGCAGCUUCAGGAGGAGCCAUUUCAAAUACUUUUACAACAGUACUGAAGAAGACCUUGAGGCCUUGAUGUUGCUGGAAACAACUCGUGGACAUUUAAAAACCAAAAUCAUAUGUAGGCAUUAAGUUUACUGUUUCUGUCAGUAGAAGACACUUCACUUGCCUGGUCAAUCAAAGUUGGAAAUCGCCCUUCAUUUAUUUAAUUUGCAGUGAGAGCACUCAGUACAUACAAGUUACUCAUUUUUCAGCACCAAGAAAACAGCAGAAAGCAGAUCAUUGCUGUUCAAAGCCAAACAAGUAUCUCCAAAACAGUAACUUUACAGAAAAGGUUUUAGAGCGUUUUUAUAGGUGCAUUCAUCAUGAAUUUUUUACACAACAUAAAGGAGAGCUGGUGUUUUGAAAUCAUGUAGAAAACAGAAAAUCAACAAAAAUGGAGAGACAUGGUUUUCUUUGGACAGCCAUGAUAUAUUUAACAGAAAAUCUCACAGGAACCUCAAUGACUAAGUAGAAUAUCAGGUUUUGUCAGUAUUUACUGUGUCCACUCUUAGAUAGAUAGAUAGAUAGAUAGAUAGAUAGAUAGAUAGAUAGAUAGAUAGAUAGAUAGAUUGACACACAUCCAGUGAUGUUGAGGUCUGGACUCUGGGGUGGUUAAUUGUUUUGAGACCACCAGCAACUUCUUUACUUGCAAAUUUUUUUUUUUUUUAUUUCUUUUGUCUUCUCACAGUGGAACAAUGGACAUAAGCACUUGUGGAUGUCUUUAGCUCUGAAGCAGCUGGAUUUUCUGGUGAUUUUUUGGUGGAUUUUUUUUUUUUUUUUAAGUGCUUUUUCUGAUACAGUUUUGGUGGCUGUCAGGUCCUUUAGGUGGUUGUUAGGAGUCCCAGUUUUUUCUCUGUGCCUUUUUAAUCAUUUUUUAAACUCUAUUUUUGGAAACCGUUUUUUUUUUUUUUUUUUUACCUUUUUUUAACUUUCACUGUCCUUAUGCAAGCUGAUUAUCUUACAUCUAAUCUCUUGCUGAAAAGUGAACAACUUGUAGCUGUUUUAACUGCCAAAGAAAGAAAUAAACAGUGGACUCCACGGUACUGAAGGUGUUAUCCAAAUCUCUGGUACUGCAUUGGUGCCAAACGGUGCAAUCUCCUAAAGUUGACUGCUUAAACUGUAUAACUUUACCCAGAGGUCAUUCGGCCAGGCUUAAAGAAUUUUCCACAGUUGCGCUGCAGCCGUGCAUAAGUCAUGUAGCUCUGCUCUUCUCUCCUUCAGUGCUUUACCUGCAGCGCUGUGUGUGUAUGUGUGUGUGCUGCACAGCAGGAGCUGUUGAAGUGUGUGUGUGGACUGCAGCAGACACCAGUUGGUAAGUGCUGCAUAUACAGAGGGCAACACAGUCAGGCACAUGUACGUACAUCCAUGUAUUCAUGCCAAGAAAAAGACAGAGGGCACAGAGUUGAAAACCUCAGCUCGCUCUCUUUCAGACAACGAUUAGACAUGCCAGUAUGCACGUACACACUUUCACCUACACAAGCUUACAAAUCCCCAGCUAACUUAAAGGAAAUUAAAGAGGGUUUUUGCAAACUUUUGGCUAAUGAAAUAGUUUAGAUGAAGUUAUUCAGGUUUGAUGUGAAAUGCUCUGAAUAGUUUACCGUGAUGGGGAUAUUUACCAGACAGCUGAAGAGUAUAAUGCCUCUAAACCAGGGCUGCAUGAAGUUUGACAUUUAAUUUGGCCUACCUGAAAGUUUCCCCAACCCCACCCGGUCACCUAAUGAGAGAACAAAUGUUUCAAUACUGUAUUUUGCGCCUGUAUCUCCAAAAUAACUUUACAGAAAAAAGGAAGAAACCUACUUUACUUUCAGUGUAAGUCAGUGGAUCCAGACUUUUUUCCAACUCAUUUUGGGUCAUGUCCAUUCAUCAUGAAAUGUACAGAACAACAGGCUUUUUCAAAUUCUGUCAAAAACGGCAAAACAAUGAAAAUGGACAAGUAUUUGUAUUUUAAGCUAUUUUAGUAACAAAAUGUAGUUUUAAUGUUAUAAAAUACAUUUCUAAAAGCUUGACCAAAACCUGCCUACCUUCUUUAUUUGUAUACUGUAUACUGUGUUUUUAGGCCUUGGCCCACCUUAAACAUUGCACUUUUGCCCCCCUAAGAGAGGACGUUUUUGGCAUCCUGCUUCAAAAGCUACCUCAUAGAUUAUUACAUUAAAUAGAGAGGACAUUGUUUGGCCAUAGAUUUGAGAAGGCUUUGGGCUUUGGCCUUAAUUUAUGUAUAUGCAGGGCAAUCAUUUCUCAGACAUUGUGACCCCUGGUUACUAUCACCACCACUGUAGUGGUGUUUCUCUGCAUUGAAUCAUUUUGCAUCAAACUACUCUUUGACUUUGUUUAUAGUGAUUGAAUUACGGAGAAAUUUUGGAAGACGUCUUAAAAACGUCCCCGUUUCUCUGCAUGUAUUUGCCCUUUUGCAGCAGAACUUGUUUUAAAACUGCAAAAUGAUCAAUAAAUCGAAAUAUUUUGAACAUAAAUCUUUUGUCUGUCGUCUUU
Pygocentrus nattereri (red-bellied piranha) is the source of this 3545-nucleotide long non-coding RNA. NCBI's taxonomy places the organism in Eukaryota, Metazoa, Chordata, Actinopteri, Characiformes, Serrasalmidae. The record is from Ensembl.